UCCUAACAGCUAGCCCGCCCCCCAAAUGCAACAAACAUCAUUAAUAAACCCAACAACAGACAAAUGUACCAAACAAACCAUUUUACCCCCCUAGUAUGGGCGACAGAAAAGGACACAGGCGCCAUAGAAAAAGUACCGCAAGGGAAAGCUGAAAGAGUUAAUGAAAAAACCCAGUAAAGAGCAAAGAAGCAGAGACAAGCACUCGUACCUUUUGCAUCAUGAGUUAGCUAGUACCCCCGAGCGAAGCGACCUUUAGUUCGAAACCCCGAAACUAAGCGAGCUACUUCAAGGCAGCCUUAUAGGGCAAACCCGUCUCUGUGGCAAAAGAGUGGGAAGACCUUCGAGUAGAGGUGACAGACCUACCGAGCUUAGUUAUAGCUGGUUGCCUACAAAAUGGAUAUGAGUUCAGCCUUCUGGCUUCUCCCCUCAACCUUGGACCCCCUCGAAACGAGAAAGAGAAGACAAAAGAGUUAUUCAAAGGGGGGACAGCCCCUAUGAAACAAGACACAACUUUUUGAGUCGGCUAAAGAUUAUACAAAACAAGGGAGUGCACCCAGGUGGGCCUAAAAGCAGCCACCCUCUCAAAAAGCGUUAAAGCUCAAGUGCUCUUUUCCCCCGCAGAUUUUAGUAAACCAAUCUUAAACCCCUCAAAGCUAGUAGGCCUUCUCAUGCAUGCAUGAGAGAGACACUGCUGACAUGAGUAAUAAGAGGGAGACCCCCUCUCCACAGCACCUGCUUGAACCAGAACGAACCCGCACUGGAAAUUAACGCCCCCAAUUAGAAGAGGGCCCUGAGAAGAACCGCGCUAGACAAGAAGAUCUCUCAAACAUAAGCGUUUCCCCCACACAGGUGUGCCCGUGGAAAGACUAAAAGGAAGAGAAGGAACUCGGCAAACCUUGGCCUCGCCUGUUUACCAAAAACAUCGCCUCUUGAGAUACUAACAUAAGAGGUCCCGCCUGCCCUGUGACCACAAGUUUAACGGCCGCGGUAUUUUGACCGUGCAAAGGUAGCGUAAUCACUUGUCUUUUAAAUGAAGACCUGUAUGAAUGGCAUAACGAGGGCUAAGCUGUCUCCUCUCCCCAGUCAAUGAAAUUGAUCUUUCCGUGCAGAAGCGGGAAUGAGAACAUAAGACGAGAAGACCCUAUGGAGCUUAAGACACAAGGCAGCGAACGUUAAGACACCUGGACGAACAGCUACAACCAAGUUAGUGCCUGCCCUCUUGUCUUUGGUUGGGGCGACCGCGGGGGAACGAAAAUCCCCCACGUGGAACAGGACCUGAUCCUUAAAACCAGAGCCUCAGCUCUAGUAAACAGAACAUCUGACCAAAAAGAUCCGGUAAUACCGAUCAACGGACCGAGUUACCCUAGGGAUAACAGCGCAAUCCCCUUUCAGAGCCCAUAUCGACAAGGGGGUUUACGACCUCGAUGUUGGAUCAGGACCCCCUAAUGGUGCAGCCGCUAUUAAGGGUUCGUUUGUUCAACGAUUAAAGUCCUACGUGAUCUGAGUUCAGACCGGAGAAAUCCAGGUCAGUUUCUAUCUAUGAGUGCUUUUUUCUAGUACGAAAGGACCGAAAAAAGGGGGCCCAUGCUUCAAGUAAGCCCCACCCUUACCUGCUGAAAACAGCUAAAACAGGUAAAGGGGCAUCUCCCCCUGCCUGAGAAAAAAGGCAA
RNAcentral lists this ribosomal RNA (1670 nucleotides) under Pomatoschistus microps (common goby). RNAcentral's name for it is "16S ribosomal RNA". It matches the Rfam family "Bacterial large subunit ribosomal RNA". Lineage: Eukaryota; Metazoa; Chordata; Actinopteri; Gobiiformes; Gobiidae. The record is from RNAcentral.